RNAcentral lists this non-coding RNA (214 nucleotides) under Caminicella sporogenes. Its description in RNAcentral is "T-box sequence". It matches the Rfam family "T-box leader". From Rfam's summary of the family: Uncharged tRNA acts as the effector for transcription antitermination of genes in the T-box leader family. T-boxes are found upstream of many aminoacyl-tRNA synthetase genes and some amino acid biosynthetic genes usually in Gram-positive bacteria. The anticodon of a specific tRNA base pairs to a specifier sequence within the T-box motif, and the NCCA acceptor tail of the tRNA base pairs to a conserved bulge in the T-box antiterminator hairpin. Lineage: Bacteria; Bacillati; Bacillota; Clostridia; Peptostreptococcales; Caminicellaceae. The record is from RNAcentral.
UAAAAGACUAUGAAGGGAAAUAGUAAAUAGAACAGUUAUUUAAGAGAGUCGGCGGUUGGUGGAAGUCGAUAUAACUGUCUAUUGAAUCCGUCCCAGAGUUAUUAAGCUGAAAAAAAUUAGUAAGCUUAAUCGGUUGGCAACCGUUAAUAUGCUUAAGAGAGGGCUUUUAAAGCCAAUAAGGGUGGCAACGCGGGAACAAUCUCUCGUCCCUAAU